CAUUUUUAGACAUAAUUAAAAACACCAUCUGCUCAAUGAACCUUAAAUAGCUGCAGCUCAUGCUGUACUAAGGUAGCAUAAUCACUUGCCUUAUAAUUAAAGGAUCGUAUAAAAGACAUCACGCAUUUUAAACUCUAUCAAAAAUUCACAUUAAAAUUUUAAUAAAAGUAAAAAUACUCUUAAACAUAAAAAAGACGACAAGACCCUGAGAACUAAACUAAAGUUUUACUGGGGCGGUUAAACAAAAAAAUCUUACUUAUCAUACCCAAAAUUAAUAAGUUACCUCAGGGAUAACAGCAUAAUUUAUUUUUAAAGUUCUUAUUUAUAAACAAGAUUAUGACCUCGAUGUUGAAUUAAAAAAUCUAUAAUUACGUAAUAGUAAUAAAAGACAGUCUGUUCGACUAUUAAAGUUUUACA
Molecule: ribosomal RNA, 417 nt
Filed under: Stalita taenaria
Lineage: Eukaryota; Metazoa; Arthropoda; Arachnida; Araneae; Dysderidae
Description: partial large subunit ribosomal RNA
Source: RNAcentral